AACAAAAUCUAUCUCAUAUCAUUUGGACUUUUCCUCUCCCUACCGCCGACUCUCUCUCUCUCUCUCUGCGCCUCUCUCCCCUCUUUCUCUCUCAUGGCUGCUUUGGGAUCUCUCUAUCUGCAACAACCUGUUAACCCAUUAGGUUUGUUAAUUUGCUGCAUUGGGGAUUGUGGCUCAUCGGAUACAGUGCGACAAUUGACAGUAAUGGAAACACUUGAUGUGAAAUUUUUUACUUAAUGCGGAAUCCGGAAAGCGUUCAACGUUAAGUGUUGUUUGUUAAACAAUAAGAUUGGUGAGUUUGACAGAUUGAGAUGAUAAACAAUGAGAUUGUUUCAAGGAAGCGCUGAAAUCAGCCUCCUGUUGGAAGAAAGAUUCGGGGAAGUGGGUUUCCAUGUUUUUUUAUUUUGAAAGGAUUAUUUAAAUUUGACUUUUACCAGUCGGGCUGCUGCUGCUGCUGCUGCUCUCUCUCUCUCUCUCUCUCUCUCUCUCUCUCUUCUUGUCAAAGGGAAGGUUUAGUUGAAGAAGAGGACAGUGGAAAUUGCUGAAUUUUUUUAGGGAUGCCCCAUUUUUUGGCGUUUGUCUAACCACCACAAUAACUUUCACUGGUUGCACAGAACAAACAUCUGCAUCCGGCAUUGAUUUCUAUGAUGAAUUGGAAAUUUUGGGACCUUCAUCAUUGUACACCAGCUCCCAACAUCAAUGGGCAGUAAGCAACACAGGCUUUUACAUCUCCAACCCCAAUGGCCCUCAAUACAUAGCAAUGACAGAUUCUCAAAUCCUGGGGACUUUAGAGUUAGAACUAUAUAAAACAGCAAGGAUUUCACCAAACUCAUUAAGGUUCCAUGGCCUUGGUUUGAAGAAUGGGAAAUACAUCAUCGAACUCCACUUUGCAGAGAUAGUCAUGGAUGAUUCACAGUCUUGGAAAGUUCUUGGGAGGCGCAUAUUUGAUGUCUACAUCUAGGUAUCACUUUCCUUAUCAUUUAACAUAUGAAGGUGUGUUCUUUCAAACCAUAUUAUGUUCAAUAUCUUUGAAUUGUUUUGGAUGAUGGACAAAAAACAAAAUGUCAGGGGGAGAAAGUACCACAAGAUUUUAACAUCCAAAAUGAAGCCAAGGGCUCCAAAAGAUCUGUCAUAAAAAUGGGAAAAUGUGACAGACACAGCCACGGAGAUCCGCUUCCUUUGGGCUGGAAAAGGGACAUGCUGCAUUCCAUUUCAAGCAACUUUCGGGCCGCUGGUGUCAGCCAUACAUGUUUCUCUAGAGUCUUCUAGUGGUGGUUCACCCUUGAAUAAUUAUAGAAGAUGCAUAGGAGAAGUUAUCGGUAUAGCUGUCGGAUGUGUAGGUGGACUACUGAUACUCGCAUCCAUUUUCUAUCUAUGGUGGAUAAGGAUGCACCUGGCCAUAUGCGAGUGCGCACAGACUCACCAAGAAAAGGAUGAUGACCUUUUUUUUAA
This is a long non-coding RNA of Magnolia sinica, 1452 nucleotides long. RefSeq lists it as uncharacterized. NCBI's taxonomy places the organism in Eukaryota, Viridiplantae, Streptophyta, Magnoliopsida, Magnoliales, Magnoliaceae. The transcript has 4 exons. The record is from RefSeq and is a predicted model, not a curated record.